Molecule: ribosomal RNA, 490 nt
Filed under: uncultured bacterium
Lineage: Bacteria
Description: bacterial LSU rRNA
Rfam family: Bacterial large subunit ribosomal RNA
Source: RNAcentral
UAGUUUUAUAAAUUAGACCCGAAACCAGAGGAUUUAUUCAUGAAUAAGUUGAAAAUUUAUUUAUUUAAAUUAGAAGACUGAAUCCAUAUUUGUUGCAUAAAAUUGGAAUAAUUUAUGAAUGGGGUGAAAGGCUAAACAAAUCUGGAAAUAGCUGGUUCUCCCCGAAAGCUAUUUAGGUAGCGCCUCAUGUAUCACUCGCGGGGGUAGAGCACUGUAAUGGUUGGAGGGGUCAUUGCGAUCUACUCCGCCAUAGCAAACUCCGAAUACCGCGAAGUGCGAGCAUGGGAGACAGACGGUGGGGUGCUAAACGUCCAUCGUCAAGAGGGAAAACAACCCCAGACCGCCAGCUAAGGUCCCCAAGCCAUGGUUAAGUGGAAAACGAAGUGGGAAGGCAUAGACAGUCAGGAAGUUGGCUUAGAAAGCAGCCAUCCUUUAAAGAAAGCGUAAUAGCUCACUGAUCGAGUCGUCCUGCGCGGAAGAUGUAACGGGG